UCAGGAUGAACGCUGGCGGCGUGCUUAACACAUGCAAGUCGAACGAAGCAGUUUAUCACGAUCCCUUCGGGGUGACGAUUUACUGACUGAGUGGCGGACGGGUGAGUAACGCGUGGGUAACCUACCUUGUACAGGGGGACAACAGUUGGAAACGACUGCUAAUACCGCAUAAGCGCACAGCUUCGCAUGAAGCAGUGUGAAAAGUUUUUUCGGUACAAGAUGGACCCGCGUCUGAUUAGCUAGUUGGUGAGGUAACGGCCCACCAAGGCGACGAUCAGUAGCCGACCUGAGAGGGUGACCGGCCACAUUGGGACUGAGACACGGCCCAAACUCCUACGGGAGGCAGCAGUGGGGAAUAUUGCACAAUGGGCGAAAGCCUGAUGCAGCGACGCCGCGUGAGCGAAGAAGUAUUUCGGUAUGUAAAGCUCUAUCAGCAGGGAAGAUAAUGACGGUACCUGACUAAGAAGCACCGGCUAAAUACGUGCCAGCAGCCGCGGUAAUACGUAUGGUGCAAGCGUUAUCCGGAUUUACUGGGUGUAAAGGGAGCGUAGGCGGUUUUACAAGUCUGAUGUGAAAGCCCGGGGCUCAACUCCGGUAUUGCAUUGGAAACUGUAGAACUAGAGUGUCGGAGGGGUAAGUGGAAUUCCUAGUGUAGCGGUGAAAUGCGUAGAUAUUAGGAGGAACACCAGUGGCGAAGGCGGCUUACUGGACGA
RNAcentral lists this ribosomal RNA (713 nucleotides) under Pseudobutyrivibrio sp. R71. Its description in RNAcentral is "bacterial SSU rRNA". It matches the Rfam family "Bacterial small subunit ribosomal RNA", at positions 24 to 736 of the family's 1533-position model. Lineage: Bacteria; Bacillati; Bacillota; Clostridia; Lachnospirales; Lachnospiraceae. The record is from RNAcentral.